This 515-nucleotide ribosomal RNA is filed under the name uncultured bacterium. RNAcentral's name for it is "partial 16S ribosomal RNA". It matches the Rfam family "Bacterial small subunit ribosomal RNA", at positions 28 to 523 of the family's 1533-position model. The record is from RNAcentral.
GAUGAACGCUGGCGGCGUGCCUAAUACAUGUAAGUCGAGCGAAUGGAUUAAGAGCUUGCUCUUAUGAAGUUAGCGGCGGACGGGUGAGUAACACGUGGGUAACCUGCCCAUAAGACUGGGAUAACUCCGGGAAACCGGGGCUAAUACCGGAUAACAUUUUGAACCGCAUGGUUCGAAAUUGAAAGGCGGCUUCGGCUGUCACUUAUGGAUGGACCCGCGUCGCAUUAGCUAGUUGGUGAGGUAACGGCUCACCAAGGCAACGAUGCGUAGCCGACCUGAGAGGGUGAUAGGCCACACUGGGACUGAGACACGGCACAGACUCCGACGGGAGGCAGCAGUAGGGAAUCUUCCGCAAUGGACGAAAGUCUGACGGAGCAACGCCGCGUGAGUGAUGAAGGCUUUCGGGUCGUAAAACUCUGUUGUUAGGGAAGAACAAGUGCUAGUUGAAUAAGCUGGCACCUUGACGGUACCUAACCAGAAAGCCACGGCUAACUACGUGCCAGCCGCCGCCGUAA